RNAcentral lists this ribosomal RNA (375 nucleotides) under uncultured bacterium. RNAcentral's name for it is "bacterial SSU rRNA". It matches the Rfam family "Bacterial small subunit ribosomal RNA", at positions 86 to 465 of the family's 1533-position model. The record is from RNAcentral.
GUCAGUCGAGCGGCGAACGGGUGAGUAACACGUGGAUUAUCUACCCUAAGGUGGGGAACAACCCGGGGAAACUCGGGCUGAUACCGCAUGAUACCGAAAGGUCAAAGGGGGCUCGCAAGGGCUUCCGCCAUAGGAGGAGUCUGCGUCCGAUUAGCUAGUUGGUAGGGUAAUGGCCUACCAAGGCGACGAUCGGUAGCCGGCCUGAGAGGGUGAUCGGCCACACUGGAACUGAGACACGGUCCAGACUCCUACGGGAGGCAGCAGUGGGGAAUUUUGCGCAAUGGGCUAACGCCUGACGCAGCAACGCCGCGUGGAGGAUGAAGGUCCUUGGAUUGUAAACUCCUGUCAGCAGGGAAAAAGCGACUCGGUCUAAUA